This 204-nucleotide non-coding RNA is filed under the name Erysipelotrichaceae bacterium. RNAcentral describes it as "T-box sequence". It matches the Rfam family "T-box leader". From Rfam's summary of the family: Uncharged tRNA acts as the effector for transcription antitermination of genes in the T-box leader family. T-boxes are found upstream of many aminoacyl-tRNA synthetase genes and some amino acid biosynthetic genes usually in Gram-positive bacteria. Lineage: Bacteria; Bacillati; Bacillota; Erysipelotrichia; Erysipelotrichales; Erysipelotrichaceae. The record is from RNAcentral.
GAAAUGGCGAUGAGUAAGAGGAGUAUUUCUGUUCUUUUUUAAAGAGAGUUUUCGUUUGGUGCAAGAAAACAAAAAGGCGGAAAGAAGGUAGCUUAUGAGCCGUUCUCUGAGCUGAGUAAGAGAAUCCGUGUUCCGCGUUAAGGAUCAAAGGCAUUUGUUUUCGAAUGCGAAUUAAGGUGGUACCACGGCUAGCACGUCCUUAGG